GUGAGGACAAACAAAUGUCCUUGUAUUCCCAAAUGUCCCCGUUAUGCUUAUGUAGAAACACACACACACACAUACACAUCUAAAAUGGUGGCGUAAAAAAAGGUUGAAUAGGAUUGGAAAACUAGACUAAUUCAAAGACCUUUUUGUGUCCCACCCCAUACCCAUACCCCUACCCACCCUUCACUCUCCACAUCCCCCCUCCCUUCCCCAAACAUGUACAUGUUGUCAUCCUCCUUCCCCCGUCCUCUCCCCUCCUCUAUCUUGUCCAAAUUGCCCCAGUGGCUGUUCGGGACUUGGGUGAUCACAGGCAGAGGACGUGGCCCUUUACCUCACCUGUCUCGCCCCAACACCCCCACCACCCCCCACUCAUGUGGCCCUUCUUCUGGGGUUGAUGGGGUCCGCCUGACAGACACAGGAAGUGAUGUAUUGCGCAAAGUUGUGGCGGAGUGGCGAGUAAGCAUCACGGCAACCCCAGCGUGCGUGUGCUGCCAAUGGGAACUUUCUCGCCGCCAAGGUAACCGACCAAGCCCCGUGCCGCCAACCUCCAUGACUCUUCCUUCCUCCUUCCUUCCUUCCUUCCUCCUCCUCCUUCCUUCGUCUGUCUCACUUUCCCCUCCCCAACCAAAGCCUGCAAAUCUGACAAAUGCCCCUUCCUUACUUCCCUUCCGCCUCUUUCCUGUCCCCACCUUUCUUCAUCCCCACCCCCUCCUUAUCCCUACCCAUUCCUCUUUCCGCCCUUCCCUCCUCCUUUUUCUCCCUCUGUCUCUCUUAUCUCUUUCUCUCUCUCUCUCUCUCUCUCUCUCUCUCUCUCUCUCUCUCUCUCUCUCUCUCUCUCUCUCUCUCUCUCUCUCUCUCUCUCUCUUUCCUUCCCUCUGUAUCUCCUGCGUGGGCUUUGGUGUGACCAAGGUUUGGGGGUGCAUUGGAAAUCGCCCGUUCUUGCACACAGCAACCUCAACCACGAGGUUUCAACCCACCACCACCACCACCACCCCUUCCACCCACCCACCCACCCUUUGGCUCGAGUGUGUUGCCUCCUCUUACCUCCCCUCGUCCUGCCCCGCCCCGCCCUGCCCUCAGCCCGGCUUCUGACUGACUGUGUGACUGAUUGCUGCCAACUGCCCGCCUGCUGCGCUGCUGAUCCAUUCGCUGGUGUGUGAGCGAGCAAGCAAGCAACCGUACAAGAGCGAACCUCUGUGUGUUGUCUCAAAAAAAAGGCUAAACGAAAAAGAAAGAAAAAAACGUGCAUACACACACACAAAAGCAAGCACGCGAGUUGGUGAGGUUUCCUUUCCGAAGGGUGUCAGAACUGCUUGGCCUUCAUGUUGGACCUUUUUUGUCUCUUCUUCCCUCCCAUCCCGGCCUAUAGACCCCUUCCAUACACACAUGCACGCACGCACACACACUCAAACUGCUCAUCCUAUGCUCUAUCCUACUCUAUCAGACCCUAUCAUCGGGAUGGCAGCCAUCUGUGAAUGGGUCAUGGGCUGAGUUGGCUCAGGUCCCCCAUAACAUUCCUGUUUUGGUUUGUGAUCUGGACCAGACCUCUUUUCAAAGUUAGCUGCCACCUGAGUUUGGGGUUCUAUUCGUUUUGUUCCGUUUUGUUUUUGUUGAUACACAUGCUAAUGAAAGAGCAACUCCUUUUCCGCCGUUUUCGUCUUAAUUCCCCAACCCAACCCCCCCUCCCCCGGCUCAAAUCCCCUUCACUCUACCUCACCCCACUCCAAGCCUUCACCACCACCACCCCAGUCUGUCCGCCGCCCCCGUCGACGCGCUCUUGGGAUUAUUUGAAACUUUCCCCUUACAGCGCCCCCUAGACUCCAACCCACCCAUUACCAACCAGCCCAGAACAUUCACCAGCAUCCACUUUAACUUUUUGCUGGUGUUAACCUGAUUGACUUGGCAGAAACUCUAGAUAAACUGCCCUCCUUUUCUCUUGCACAGCACAAACGAAAGCACACAACUGUCUUUCGAACCAUUUUGUUUUUCCUUUUCCUCUCCAUUUAUGCAUUGUCCAAUUUGUAUCUGCAAGACCUCAUUGGUCCAGAGUCUGCUACCUCCUUGUUCAAUUGUAGACCCUUCUACUCCACUUUUGUAGUACCCUUUCCCAGAUGUUUCAGCACACCACAAGGAGUAUAGACGUGUAGUAAGACAUUUGGUAGUCUUAAAGUAGCAUUUUAGAUGUGACCUCUGAAAUACCCUUCCCUUCCCCCAAAGUCUCGAUCUACUUAGUCUUGGGUUUCCAAUUCUAGCCUCAAAGCCCAGCCCCCAAUACUACACGUUUUCUCAUUCAGAGCACAUUGGCUAUGCUACCAUUGACAAGAUUGACUCUAAACAGAUGCAUUUCGUCCAUUGUGUCCUCUUAAAUCAAGUAAUUAGGUUGACUCUUUAUCAGACUAUUCAAAGGGGAAUGUGUGAGAAAUUAUAUUAACUACCAGUGAUGGGCAACCUGGAUUCAUCCGUCGCAAUCCAGUGCUACAUAUUCCAAAUUAUCCGUUUUUUUCCUGCCCAAUUCAACCAGUUUGUCAUUCAACAAGGCAAUCAAAGUACAGAGUUGGACAGAUAAAACCAUGUCAUGUGGAAUAUGUGGUACUGGAUGGCAACUAAUGAAUCCAGGUUGCUCAUCACUGUUCUCUACAUUUUAUGGAUCUAGUGACAGCACCGCUUACAAAUACUCCCUCUGUUUGCUGAUAAGUCAAGUAAAUGUUCUAUCAGUCAAUCGUGUCAAUGGAACUGCAAUCAGACAUAAAAGACGUGUAGUAUGAGGGACUUCUUUACGAUUUUACAGUGAAGGAGACUUCUUCAACAAGCAAUGCCAUACGUAGGCCCCAUUCCAAUAAACCCCAUCCCCAAACCCUUGUACUCUGCAUCUGCCUGCGUAUACUAUACUUGUGUGUCUGUGUAUCUGUGUCGUUGGUUUAUUUGUCAGUGCUUUGGAAGGACUCCUACCCUUUUGUAUGUGGUGAAAAAUACAUGCAAGCACACUAAGACACUGUACACUCUAUGCCUUUCUCCAACACCCGUUCUCCAUCAUAAACAGAUAACAAAAAAGUAAAAUAACUUUAAACACACUAACACACACGUGUGCCCUGAACAGCUUGGCAGGUGAAAGGCUGGUGAAAGGAAGGAAGGAAGGAAAUGAAAGGAGGAGUUGGAUGGAGUUAUUGUUAUGGAUGGAUGCAAAGAAAGAAGGAUAGAUAGAGGAAAGGUGAGUAACCCAAGCAUGGACCACCACCUCCGGGCCGACCCUACUCCUCCCUUCCGCACCGUCUUGGUUGUGGAGAUACCCAUCCCCUGUAUCCCCAACCCAACCCCCUUACCCCGCUACCUCCUACCCCUCUCCACACCAUCCCUGACCCCUGAAUCCUUGAAUGGUGUCCUUGAACUCCAAAUUGGUACUGCAAAGCAGGGGCUUUUGCCUCCUCCUAUUCUGGUGUGUCUUGUCGGUGUGCCUGGGUUUUUACUUGGUAGCAUCUGUCAAUGCUAACAAGUUAAGAACCUGACAGUUGACGGAUGUGGAGUCAUCUAGGUUCGGAAGGUAAAAUCUCUCCUGCCCAAUAUCAUUUCAAAAAUUAUCUGAUAGGGUUGACCCUUACCAGCACACCAAACAUCAGAAGUGUGGGUCAGCUAAUUAGCAUUUUUUUAUGCUAAAGGAAUGACAUGGUGAGAGUUUUUAUUUUCCCAAGCUAGAUUCUCCUUUUCUGUCCACCAAAAUGACAAUUGGUAAGUCACUAGAAGCACUCAUCUACGGAGUUUGAUGCAGAGGCACCUCACUAACAUACCAGGGUAGGAUUUGUGCUUUCCCUGCCUUCUUCCUCUGCAACCAGAAACUAUAUCACCAGGCUGGCGCUAAGCUUUAGCUGUUAGCUGACUAACUCUGGUAAAUGUACUGAAAAUACUUUACCUGUAACAUUGAAAGCUUCUUGCUCUAGGAGCUUUGCAAUUGUAUUUCUGUCUUUUAUAUGAAAUAUAUGCACAGCUGUGUAACACACUACAGGAAAACAUUGAUUAUUUUCAGUGCUUUCUGGAGAUGGCUAGCUAGCAUUUAACCUUAAGCUUUGUGAUAUAAAGACCGAGCUUGAUUUUUAAUAUAAUUUCUUUCUUUUUGUCUCCGUUUUACUGAGUUAGUGAUCUGUCUCUGCCCCUUCGUUCAGAAUUCCUUGUUGUCUGACUGGUGUGUGGGUGUGUGUGUAUAUGUGAGUGUAUAUGUUUGUAUGUAUGUGUCUCCAUUACUUUUCUUGCUGAGUAAGCAAAAAAAAACAUCCUGUCUUUGUAUGUCUGUUCACACCUACACAACAAGGUGGCUGCCAACCCUUUUACUACCCUCCUAUACCCCAACUUUCCCUACAACCACCACCACCACUACUUCUACUUCUGUCCACUCUCUCUCUGUGCACUGGAUGGCUAACUAGCUUAGCUGAUUAGCUUGCCCAGAGAGCAGCAGCUAAAUCUGAACUAAAAUCUGGUCCUGAUGUGUUCCCAAAUUGACCGGUUUCAUGAUGUUGGCCUCUGCUGCAGAGGAAGCUGCUGUUUUGGCUUUGGGUGUGCCCUCUUUUGUCACGUCCAAUCCAAUAAAAAAAAGUCCCUUGACCUAGCUUCUGUGGUCUCUCACUAGUAGCAAAAGCCACAUAUAUAUGUGUAUGAUGUGUGUGUCUGGUCAAGAUAUAUUAAGCGAAAAAUAAAAAACCUCCAUCUGUACCCUGAGCAGCAGAAGUUUUGUUACGGAAACGUUGAAUGUUGUUUUUAGAAACAAAAUAAAGUACAGGUUUUAAAGGAGAAUAACGAGAUGACAACAAUUCUAUUGCAGGCAAUAGGAUGUGUAAUAAAAAAACAAAAUUUACUCCUUUGUAACGGUUGCCUUUUACAUGGGGAUGAAGUAGAUGGAGCAUGUUUUUUGAAGAGGUGCAUAAAAAUGACGAUACCUCAUGUCUGUGACAAACAACUGUACACUCCUGUUACCUCGUCUGCAUGGGAAAAAUAAAAUUUGUUAUCAUCUGCAUGCUAAUCUCAAAAUAAACCACUUGGAUUUUAAAACUGA
Engraulis encrasicolus (European anchovy) is the source of this 5035-nucleotide long non-coding RNA. RefSeq lists it as uncharacterized. The record is from RefSeq and is a predicted model, not a curated record. Lineage: Eukaryota; Metazoa; Chordata; Actinopteri; Clupeiformes; Engraulidae. The transcript has 2 exons.